AGUGGUGGCCAUAGAACGUUGAAUGCACCCUUUUCCAAUGGUUCACAGAAGUUAAGCAACGUUGCUCGCGGUUAGUAUGCGGGUGGGUGACCAUCAGGGCAAUCGCGUGCUGCAGAGU
Molecule: ribosomal RNA, 118 nt
Filed under: Diaphorina citri (Asian citrus psyllid)
Lineage: Eukaryota; Metazoa; Arthropoda; Insecta; Hemiptera; Psyllidae
Source: RNAcentral